Non-coding RNA from Geobacteraceae bacterium GWC2_55_20, 77 nucleotides. Lineage: Bacteria; Pseudomonadati; Thermodesulfobacteriota; Desulfuromonadia; Geobacterales; Geobacteraceae. The record is from Rfam.
AUACGACAAUACUAAACCAUUCGCGAGGAUGGGACGGAAAGCCUACAGGAUCUCUCAGAGAUAGCCGGGUCGCCGAA